Molecule: non-coding RNA, 98 nt
Organism: Rubellimicrobium mesophilum DSM 19309
Lineage: Bacteria; Pseudomonadati; Pseudomonadota; Alphaproteobacteria; Rhodobacterales; Roseobacteraceae
Rfam family: Bacterial small signal recognition particle RNA
About the family: The signal recognition particle (SRP) is a universally conserved ribonucleoprotein involved in the co-translational targeting of proteins to membranes. Archaeal SRP consists of a 7S RNA and homologues of the eukaryotic SRP19 and SRP54 proteins. In most bacteria, the SRP consists of a 4.5S RNA and the Ffh protein (a homologue of the eukaryotic SRP54 protein).
Source: Rfam
CGAGAGGUUGGCGCGGGCAGGCGCCUCGCCAACCCGGUCAGGUCCGGAAGGAAGCAGCCGCAACGAGACCCGUCUGGGUCGUGUCCAGCCUCUCACCG